This 200-nucleotide ribosomal RNA is filed under the name uncultured organism. RNAcentral's name for it is "partial small subunit ribosomal RNA". It matches the Rfam family "Bacterial small subunit ribosomal RNA", at positions 1185 to 1382 of the family's 1533-position model. The record is from RNAcentral.
UCAAGUCAGCAUGGCCUUGAUGUCCAGGGCUACACACACGCUACAAUGGCCGGUACAAUGGGUCGCCAACCCGCGAGGGGGAGCCAAUCCAAGCAAAGCCGGUCUCAGUUCGGAUUGCAGGCUGCAACCCGCCUGCAUGAAGUCGGAGUUGCUAGUAACCGCCGGUCAGCCAUACGGCGGUGAAUACGUUCCCGGGCCUU